RNAcentral lists this ribosomal RNA (654 nucleotides) under Salmonella enterica subsp. enterica serovar Indiana. RNAcentral describes it as "partial 23S ribosomal RNA". It matches the Rfam family "Bacterial large subunit ribosomal RNA", at positions 1 to 688 of the family's 2925-position model. Lineage: Bacteria; Pseudomonadati; Pseudomonadota; Gammaproteobacteria; Enterobacterales; Enterobacteriaceae. The record is from RNAcentral.
GGGUUGUGAGGUUAAGCGACUAAGCGUACACGGUGGAUGCCCUGGCAGUCAGAGGCGAUGAAGGACGUGCUAAUCUGCGAUAAGCGCCGGUAAGGUGAUAUGAACCGUUAUAACCGGCGAUUUCCGAAUGGGGAAACCCAGUGUGACUCGUCACACUAUCAUUAACUGAAUCCAUAGGUUAAUGAGGCGAACCGGGGGAACUGAAACAUCUAAGUACCCCGAGGAAAAGAAAUCAACCGAGAUUCCCCCAGUAGCGGCGAGCGAACGGGGAGGAGCCCAGAGCCUGAAUCAGCAUGUGUGUUAGUGGAAGCGUCUGGAAAGGCGCGCGAUACAGGGUGACAGCCCCGUACACAAAAGCGCAUGUGCUGUGAGCUCGAUGAGUAGGGCGGGACACGUGGUAUCCUGUCUGAAUAUGGGGGGACCAUCCUCCAAGGCUAAAUACUCCUGACUGACCGAUAGUGAACCAGUACCGUGAGGGAAAGGCGAAAAGAACCCCGGCGAGGGGAGUGAAAAAGAACCUGAAACCGUGUACGUACAAGCAGUGGGAGCACCCUUCGGGGUGUGACUGCGUACCUUUUGUAUAAUGGGUCAGCGACUUAUAUUCUGUAGCAAGGUUAACCGAAUAGGGGAGCCGGAGGGAAACCGAGUCUUAAU